UGCGUUAGCUCCACGUGAAUUUUCACUACUUAAGCUCCUCAGAUCGAUCCUCUUGAUUCAUUCCGCUACACAGGAAGCAAGGAAAACCCACUGUUCUCUCUACUGAAGCUACAAGGACAUCAUCAUCAUACAAUGUCAAAACCCUCGUCCCACGCUGAAGAUUUAUAUCUCUCAUCCUCCACGGAGGAAGAUUCGUCGGCACCGCCGCCGCCACCGCCGAAGGUUGACGUGAUCGACAAAAAGAAAAAAUCCAAGCCGCCAACAUCGACGAGCUCGAGCAAGAGGUCAAAACGUUCGUCCCAUACCGAUUCGUAUCUCUCAUCCUCCACUGAGGAAGAUUUGCCAGCACCGCCACCGCUACCACCGAAGGCUGACGCGGUCGAAAAAAGAAAAAAUCCAAGCCAUCGACAUCGUCAGCAAGCUCGAGCAAGAGGGUCAGAAUAGCUCCUGUGAAGCCGCGGCACGGCACUGCAGCGGAACUAUUCGGUGCCGAUAGCGAUGACGAGGGAUUAGAAGCGAACCAACCUGCAGGGGAGGUGGGAUCACGUAACCGUCCGUUAUCCAGAACUAUUUUAAUGAAAUGUGACAAAUGUCAAAUUAAAUUGCCUAAGAAUGAAUACAAUGCCCAUUUGAGAACUAAUUUACAUAAAUCGAAUUGCAUAUUGAAAACUGAUUUGAAUAAUAUUGAAAUUAUAGCAACAGCCUUUAAAAACAGAAUAGUCACCUAUCGUCUGAAUGCAACACAAAAUGAAUACGUAACUCCUGAGACGUUUUUGUGUGAUAUCAAAAGUAACAUUAUGAAAGUUGUAGAAAUGUCAUUACGGGAACAUAAAAGUAUCAAAAUAAACUAUGAGCUUUUCGUUUACUUUACAUUACCUCAUUCAGGCAAACAACAGUUAAAGUCAUUCAAUACAAAAUAUGAUGUUAUUUAUGAAAACACAAAUAUCAAUGAACUGUUUGAAAAUACGAUUGAACAUUUAAAAAAUAAAGUUAUAGAAUUUGAGCACCGUGAAUCAGGCUGGUCUUUUGUCGCAAUAAGUCAUUUAGAAGUUAACGUAAACAAGUAUUGUCCGAUGCGAGGAGGUACUUACAUACCUUUACCCCCAAGUGUCAAAAAUACUAAAAGCUGCAUUAAUAUUCAAAACAACGAUAAUUGUUGCUUUUUAUGGAGUAUACUGGCUGGUCUAUAUCCUGCAAAGAAUAAUGUGUGUCGAACUAAAUCAUACCCGCACUAUUCAGAUGUUUUAAAUAUCGAUGGAAUGUCAUUCCCAUUAUCAGUCAGCGAUAUACAGUUAUUUGAAAAAAAUAACCCUGAUAUAAGCAUUUGUAUAUAUGGAUUGGAUAAUAAGUAUGCAGUAACAGGUCCUCUAUAUAGAUCCAAAUCAAAGAAAAAUAAUCAUUUUAAUCUAUUAUAUAUUGAAGUCGUUGGUAAAGGACAUUACUGUUUAAUUAAAGACCUGGUACGAUUAGUUAGAAGACAAGUAACUUUACAUAGAGGCCACAUGCAUUUCUGUGACUCA
RNA transcript from Leguminivora glycinivorella, 1520 nucleotides. It is a transcript of the gene named zinc finger protein 865-like, with no coding region annotated. NCBI's taxonomy places the organism in Eukaryota, Metazoa, Arthropoda, Insecta, Lepidoptera, Tortricidae. The transcript has 4 exons. The record is from RefSeq and is a predicted model, not a curated record.